GGCGUGUAAGGUGACUGAAUCCGUUCUGGUGUUGGAAUAUUUUAAUUAGAUUGGUGUUGGAAGAUUUAAAAUCUAUACACAAACAUCAUAACUACCGUGAUGUACAGCAUCACUGAAAAACGCAUAAAUGUAACUCCAAGAGUUACGGACAAAACAACUAUCCUCAACAAAUUUGUGCAAUAUUUUUCAUGACGGGAACAGUCAUUUUC
Molecule: long non-coding RNA, 209 nt
Filed under: Mytilus galloprovincialis (Mediterranean mussel)
Lineage: Eukaryota; Metazoa; Mollusca; Bivalvia; Mytilida; Mytilidae
Source: RNAcentral